RNAcentral lists this ribosomal RNA (519 nucleotides) under uncultured eukaryote. RNAcentral's name for it is "SSU rRNA". It matches the Rfam family "Eukaryotic small subunit ribosomal RNA", at positions 1161 to 1693 of the family's 1831-position model. The record is from RNAcentral.
AGGGCACCACCAGGAGUGGAGCCUGCGGCUUAAUUUGACUCAACACGGGAAAACUUACCCGGCCCGGACACUGGAAGGAUUGACAGAUUGAGAGCUCUUUCUUGAUUCAGUGGGUGGUGGUGCAUGGCCGUUCUUAGUUGGUGGAGCGAUUUGUCUGGUUAAUUCCGAUAACGAACGAGACUCUAGCCUACUAAAUAGACCAGUGGCUUCCUAAAACACGUCACUGGCCGCUUCUUAGAGGGACAGGCGGCGGUUCAGCCGCACGAAACAGAGCAAUAACAGGUCUGUGAUGCCCUUAGAUGUCCGGGGCCGCACGCGCGCUACACUGAAGUGAUCAGCGUGCUUGAGUGGACCUGGUCGGCCACGACUGGGUAACCCAAUGAACCUUCUUCGUGAUUGGGAUAGGGGAUUGUAAUUAUUCCCCUUGAACGAGGAAUUCCCAGUAAGCGCGAGUCAUAAGCUCGCGUUGAUUACGUCCCUGCCCUUUGUACACACCGCCCGUCGCUACUACCGAUUGAA